RNAcentral lists this long non-coding RNA (470 nucleotides) under Phoenix dactylifera (date palm). RNAcentral describes it as "long non-coding RNA (PDAC_LNC012751)". Lineage: Eukaryota; Viridiplantae; Streptophyta; Magnoliopsida; Arecales; Arecaceae. The record is from RNAcentral.
GUUGGCGGGGGGGGGGUCAGCCUAGGCGGCCGGGGGCUGUUGCCCGGUCGACGGCCGGCCGACUGCAGUGGCUGCCGGCGACUGCUGCAGCGACGGGCGUCGAAGGAAAACCGAGUGAUCUCGGUUUGGGGCCAAAGCAACGGAAGGAAAUCAAGCAUGUUCAGACUAGAUCAAAGAGCAAAAAGGAAAAGGGAUUACCGGCAGUCGACGAAGAGGCAGAUCCUGGCCACGGCUGCUCGAUCCGGUGGACAAGCGGCGGCGGUAGCAGUGCUCGAAACCAAGAGGAUGGAUCUCGGAACAGGGGCAGGCCACGAGAGGAAUCCGGAUGGCGCUCGGUCGGAAAGAUACGCCGGUCACUCGGGAGGUAAGAACAGAGGAAGGAGAGGGAGGAGAGGGAAGAAAGGGAGGAGAGGAAGAGGAUUCAGAGGUGGUCCUAGGAAAAAAUGAGGGUUUUUAUCACCCCCUUGUAA